Molecule: ribosomal RNA, 700 nt
Filed under: Goura cristata (Western crowned-pigeon)
Lineage: Eukaryota; Metazoa; Chordata; Aves; Columbiformes; Columbidae
Description: partial 12S ribosomal RNA
Rfam family: Bacterial small subunit ribosomal RNA
Source: RNAcentral
UCACACAAGAGACCAAAUUAAUCGUACGCGGCGUAAAGAGUGGACCCAUGACUAUCACAACAAUUAAGGCCGAAAUGCAGCUGAGCUGUCAUAAGCCUAAGACGCACCUAAAACCUUCCUAAAGACGACCUUAAUCCUCGUGACCAAUUAGAUUCCACGAAAGCCAGGACACAAACUGGGAUUAGAUACCCCACUAUGCCCGGCCCUAAAUCUCGAUGCUCACCCUACUAAAGCAUCCGCCUGAGAACUACGAGCACAAACGCUUAAAACUCUAAGGACUUGGCGGUGCCCCAAACCCACCUAGAGGAGCCUGUUCUAUAAUCGACAACCCACGAUACACCCGGCCACUUCUCGCCAAAACAGCCUAUAUACCGCCGUCGCCAGCUCACCUUCCCUGAGAGUGCAACAGUGAGCACAAUAACCCUAACACCGCUAGUAAGACAGGUCAAGGUAUAGCCUAUGAAGUGGAAGAAAUGGGCUACAUUUUCUAACUUAGAAAACCCCCAACCUUAACGGAAGGGAGUGUGAAAUAACUCCCGGAAGGCGGAUUUAGCAGUAAAGCGGGAUAAUAAAGCCCCCUUUAAACCGGCCCUGAGGCACGUACAUACCGCCCGUCACCCUCCUCACAAGCUUUAGACCCCAAUAAAUAAUACGCCGCCCGCCAAAGAUGAGGUAAGUCGUAACAAGGUAAGUGUACCGG